This is a small nucleolar RNA of Quercus lobata, 109 nucleotides long. RefSeq annotates it as small nucleolar RNA SNORD90. Lineage: Eukaryota; Viridiplantae; Streptophyta; Magnoliopsida; Fagales; Fagaceae. The transcript has a single exon. The record is from RefSeq and is a predicted model, not a curated record.
ACUUAAGUUUUUGGAGUGACUAAUUUUCCCAUAGGUUUGAGUCUGAGGACCAUGCAAGACCUUGGUCCUCGGACUCAAAUCUAUGGGGAAACUAGUCACUCCAAAAGUU